Long non-coding RNA from Mus pahari (shrew mouse), 155 nucleotides. RefSeq lists it as uncharacterized. The transcript has 3 exons. Lineage: Eukaryota; Metazoa; Chordata; Mammalia; Rodentia; Muridae. The record is from RefSeq and is a predicted model, not a curated record.
GAGAAGUUUUAGGCUGCUGUGGUCUGGCAUUUGGUCUGCAGCUUCUGAACACUGACAAAAAUAAAGUGAAGGGGUUUCUGCUCUUCAACAUGUGACUUGCAAAUGGCACAAGGACUACAUUGCAAAAUGCCAAGCUAAGGAGACACACAGGGCUU